This 1956-nucleotide unclassified non-coding RNA is filed under the name Polistes fuscatus (common paper wasp). Its description in RNAcentral is "mediator of RNA polymerase II transcription subunit 27, transcript variant X1". The record is from RNAcentral. Lineage: Eukaryota; Metazoa; Arthropoda; Insecta; Hymenoptera; Vespidae.
UAUCAAAGAAUUCUGUAUUCUUCGUUAGUAUUAGUAUUAUUCAUCGAUUGUUGCAGCGGCAACUCGCAUUAUCGAAUCGAAGCAUUAUCGAUACUUUGCAUGUUUCGAUGUUAAAUCUAACCUCACUUUUGAAGAGUUCGUCUCUUUAAAUGUGGCUUUACCAAAUUGACGGAAAAAUAGGAAAAAGACGUAGAGUAAGGAAAUAAUGUGUAGUGUUUUGUUUAGUUAAAGAUAUAACGUAGUAUUAAAUAAUUAAACUUACGUUACGUAAUCUAAGCAAAGUAUUAUUUUGAAUAACCUAUGUUAUUCCGUGUGGAAAUCGUCUAUCUACGUUUAUACUUUACGUUGUAUUCUUUAUUCAUUACACGUGUUUGUAUACAUUCUUUUUAUUUAAAUAAGAAAAAUGAUGGAACAAUUGCAAACAGCAUUAACAGCUAUUAAAGUGUUACGAUCUAGUGUUGGACAAGUUUUUGAUUCUCUUGCAAAUGGGUUACGAGCCGAUCACGGAGAAGAAAAUAAAGAAUCCAAAUAUUUGUUAGAGUUGCAAGAAUUAUUGACAACGGUUAACGUAAAUUUAAGGGAUGUAGAACAAGCGGUUAGUAGUUUGAAUCCACCACCUGGUCCAUUUAAUUUGGCUAGCACGACUUAUCUUAGUCAGGAAACGACACAGGAAAGACAAGCACUUUAUGGUUCUCUUGUUAAUAGUUAUAAAUGGACAGAUAAAGUCCACGAGUACAGUAAUGCUGCUCAAACAUUAUUGAAUCAGAAUUCGUUAAAGAGAUCUUAUACCAAUACAAGUAGAGCGAAAAGAGGUAGAGUUCAAACUAGUAAUCACAAUGUACCUCCGCAACAAGUGGAUUCCAUGAUAGCAACCUUUGAUCGAUUGUUUAAUGAUAUGACGGUAUCUGUAUCCCGACCAUUUGCAUCAAAUGCAGUAUUACACGUUACAUUAGGACACGUUCUAAAGGCAGUAAUAGCUUUUAAAGGUGUAAUGAUUGAAUGGGUUGUCGUAAAAGGUUAUGGAGAAAGAAUGGAUUUAUGGACAGAAUCGAGGCAUAAAGUUUUUAGAAAAGUAACAGAAAAUGCUCAUGCAGCUAUGUUACAUUUUUAUUCGCCUGCACUUCCUGAAUUAGCUGUACGAUCAUUUAUGACUUGGUUUCAUAGUUUAAUCAAUUUAUUCAGUGAACCAUGCAAACGUUGUGGACUACAUCUACACAGUGCUUUACCUCCAACAUGGAGAGAUUUUCGUACUUUAGAACCAUAUCAUCAGGAAUGUAAACCAUAAUAAUGAAUGAUGUCAAGGUAUUUUUGGUCAUUUUUAUAAGAAGGAAAUAUUUACUAUAGCAUUGACUAUAUAGGGUCCCUUGACACUAUAAUGUUGCACAUUGAAGAAGUAAUUAAUUAAUUCUACAUUAUUGUAAAAAUUCAUAUAUUUAAAUAUAUUUAUUAAUAAAAUUUGAGAAUAUCGUCUUGUUCCUUGUAAAAUGUAUAUAGUCUAUGGGAGGUAAUCGCAGUGUAAGAGAAGAGAGGUAAUAUAUUUCAAAACCUGGAAUAUUAUGCUUCAAACGCUUCUUCUAUCUAUUAUAGUGUGAAUACAAUAAAGGUAUAAAUGAAACAUUUUCACAGAGAAUAUAAGGGCAUUUAUAAAAAGAACUUAAUUAUACAAUACUUAACAAAUGUGAAAUUUGAAAUAGUAAAGUAAUAACAUUGCAAAAUAUAAAUGCAUUUAAUUUGCAAUUUUAAGACGUCUGAUCGUAAUUCGAUCAUUACUUUGAUUUAACCGAAGCCAGAAGAAAGAGCAAAAUGAAUAAUCGUCUGUCUAGAUCAAAGGAGCCUUUAUCAAAAAGAAGAUAAAUAUACUAUUGACAGAUUGGAAUUGGAACUUGGCAUUUUUUUUAGCGGAUAAACACUUACGGCUGUACUAACUUUUAAGUAUAAUAUACAAAUGAGCAGGCA